This 250-nucleotide ribosomal RNA is filed under the name uncultured bacterium. RNAcentral's name for it is "partial 16S ribosomal RNA". It matches the Rfam family "Bacterial small subunit ribosomal RNA", at positions 524 to 776 of the family's 1533-position model. The record is from RNAcentral.
UACGUAGGUCCCGAGCGUUGUCCGGAUUUAUUGGGCGUAAAGCGAGCGCAGGUGGUUUAUUAAGUCUGGUGUAAAAGGCAGUGGCUCAACCAUUGUAUGCAUUGGAAACUGGUAGACCUGAGUGCAGGAGAGGAGUGGAAUUCCAUGUGUAGCGGUGAAAUGCGUAGAUAUAUGGAGGAACACCGGUGGCGAAAGCGGCUCUCUGGCCUGUAACUGACACUGAGGCUCGAAAGCGUGGGGAGCAAACAGG